RNAcentral lists this ribosomal RNA (440 nucleotides) under uncultured bacterium. RNAcentral describes it as "bacterial SSU rRNA". It matches the Rfam family "Bacterial small subunit ribosomal RNA", at positions 338 to 795 of the family's 1533-position model. The record is from RNAcentral.
CCUACGGGGUGCAGCAGUGGGGAAUAUUGGACAAUGGGCGAAAGCCUGAUCCAGCAAUGCCGCGUGUGUGAAGAAGGUCUUCGGAUUGUAAAGCACUUUCGACGGGGACGAUGAAGACGGUACCCGUAGAAGAAGCCCCGGCUAACUUCGUGCCAGCAGCCGCGGUAAUACGAAGGGGGCUAGCGUUGCUCGGAAUGACUGGGCGUAAAGGGCGCGUAGGCGGUUUAUGCGGUCAGAUGUGAAAUCCCCGGGCUUAACCUGGGAACUGCAUUUGAGACGCAUAGACUAGAGGUCGAGAGAGGGUUGUGGAAUUCCCAGUGUAGAGGUGAAAUUCGUAGAUAUUGGGACGAACACCGGUGGCGAAGGCGGCAACCUGGCUCGAUACUGACGCUGAGGCGCGAAAGCGUGGGGAGCAAACAGGAUUAGAUACCCUUGUAGUC